GAUGAACGCUGGCGGCGUGCUUAACACAUGCAAGUCGAGCGAAGCGCUUUGGUUAGAUUCUUCGGAUGAAGACCUUUGUGACUGAGCGGCGGACGGUGAGUAACGACGUGGGUAACCGUAGCCUCAUACAGGGGGAGUAACAGUUAGAAAUAGACUGCUAAUACCGCAUAAGACUACAGUACCGCAUGGUACAGGGUAAAACGUACCGUGGUAUGAGAUGGACCCGCGUCUGAUUAGCUGGUUGGUGGGGUAACGGCCUACCAAGGCGACGAUCAGUAGCCGGCC
RNAcentral lists this ribosomal RNA (285 nucleotides) under uncultured bacterium. RNAcentral describes it as "partial 16S ribosomal RNA". It matches the Rfam family "Bacterial small subunit ribosomal RNA", at positions 28 to 292 of the family's 1533-position model. The record is from RNAcentral.